Molecule: ribosomal RNA, 587 nt
Filed under: uncultured bacterium
Lineage: Bacteria
Description: partial 16S ribosomal RNA
Rfam family: Bacterial small subunit ribosomal RNA
Source: RNAcentral
UGGGGAAUUUUGGACAAUGGGCGAAAGCCUGAUCCAGCAAUGCCGCGUGUGUGAAGAAGGCCUUCGGGUUGUAAAGCACUUUUGUCCGGAAAGAAAUCCUUGGCUCUAAUACAGUCGGGGGAUGACGGUACCGGAAGAAUAAGCACCGGCUAACUACGUGCCAGCAGCCGCGGUAAUACGUAGGGUGCAAGCGUUAAUCGGAAUUACUGGGCGUAAAGCGUGCGCAGGCGGUUUGCUAAGACCGAUGUGAAAUCCCCGGGCUCAACCUGGGAACUGCAUUGGUGACUGGCAGGCUAGAGUAUGGCAGAGGGGGGUAGAAUUCCACGUGUAGCAGUGAAAUGCGUAGAGAUGUGGAGGAAUACCGAUGGCGAAGGCAGCCCCCUGGGGCCAAAUACUGACGCUCAUGCACGAAAGCGUGGGGAGCAAACAGGAUUAGAUACCCUGGUAGUCCACGCCCUAAACGAUGUCAACUAGUUGUUGGGGACUCAUUUCCUUAGUAACGUAGCUAACGCGUGAAGUUGACCGCCUGGGGAGUACGGUCGCAAGAUUAAAACUUAAAUGAAUUGACGGGGUCAUAGCUGUUUCCU